GUGGGGAAUCUUCCGCAAUGGACGAAAGUCUGACGGAGCAACGCCGCGUGAGUGAUGAAGGUCUUCGGAUUGUAAAGCUCUGUUAAUCGGGACGAAAGAGCCUAGUGUGAAUAAUGCUAGGAAGUGACGGUACCGGAAUAGAAAGCCACGGCUAACUACGUGCCAGCAGCCGCGGUAAUACGUAGGUGGCAAGCGUUGUCCGGACUUAUUGGGCGUAAAGCGCGCGCAGGCGGAUCUGCCAGUCUGUCUUAAAAGUUCGGGGCUUAACCCCGUGAUGGGAUGGAAACUACAGAUCUAGAGUAUCGGAGAGGAAAGUGGAAUUCCUAGUGUAGCGGUGAAAUGCGUAGAUAUUAGGAAGAACACCAGUGGCGAAGGCGACUUUCUGGACGAAAACUGACGCUGAGGCGCGAAAGCCAGGGGAGCGAACGGGAUUAGAAACCCCAGUAGUCC
RNAcentral lists this ribosomal RNA (450 nucleotides) under uncultured bacterium. RNAcentral describes it as "partial 16S ribosomal RNA". It matches the Rfam family "Bacterial small subunit ribosomal RNA", at positions 354 to 796 of the family's 1533-position model. The record is from RNAcentral.